AGUUCAGCUUGGUUAGAAUACAUGCCUGUCACGCAUGGGGUCGCGGGUUCGAGUCCCGUCCGCA
RNAcentral lists this transfer RNA (64 nucleotides) under Prevotellaceae bacterium. Its description in RNAcentral is "tRNA-Asp". It matches the Rfam family "tRNA", at positions 9 to 63 of the family's 71-position model. From Rfam's summary of the family: Transfer RNA (tRNA) molecules are approximately 80 nucleotides in length. Their secondary structure includes four short double-helical elements and three loops (D, anti-codon, and T loops). Lineage: Bacteria; Pseudomonadati; Bacteroidota; Bacteroidia; Bacteroidales; Prevotellaceae. The record is from RNAcentral.